This 1469-nucleotide long non-coding RNA is filed under the name Hordeum vulgare. RNAcentral's name for it is "long non-coding RNA (HVUL_LNC010833)". The record is from RNAcentral. Lineage: Eukaryota; Viridiplantae; Streptophyta; Magnoliopsida; Poales; Poaceae.
UUUAUUUUACAAUGUAUAGUAACUUCCUCUCUAUUUUACAGCAUGCAUAAGCCGUUUGGCGGUACAUAUACAAAACCUGAUGCAAGAGUAAAGUUGAUUCCGGCAGAAGACAUCACUUAUGUACGACAUGGAAAGCCUUUUGGUAGAACAGUUGGCUCAGCAAAGCUGCAGAAAAGACACUCCAGACGAAGUGUCACUCCUCCUCCGAGUUCGCGUAAAGUUUCUCUUGCGAGGUCAACACCACUUACUCAGAAGUCUACGCCACUGUUUACCUCCAAGGCCAUGCCACCGCUUAAUCACAAGGCUUCAGCGCCUUUUACUCAUAAGGCCACAGCAUCUCUUAAUCACACGGCCAUGGCACCUCUUACUCACAAGGCCGCGGCUCCUCCUACUCACAAGCCCACGACGCCGCCCCUUUCUGGUUCAUCGUGUCUUUCUCCUAAGAGAGUUGAGACAGCUCACAAGGCCACAGGACUUCUUAGUCCCAAGCAUGCUACACCACCCUUGCCUGUUGCAUCGUGUCUUUCUCCCAAGAGAGUUGAGACAGCUCACAAGGCCAUGGGGCCUCUUAGUCCCAAGCCCACUACACCACCCUUGCCUGUUGCAUCGUGUCUUUCUCCUAAGAGAGUUGAGACAGCUCACAAGGCCACGGGACCUCUUAGUCCCAAGCCCACUACACCACCCUUGCCUGUUGCAUCGUGUCUUUCUCCUAAGAGAGUUGAGACAGCUCACAAGGCCAUGGGACCUCUUAGCCCCAAGCCCACCACACCUCCCCUGCCGGUUGCAUCGUGUCUUUCUCCUAAGAGAGUUGAGACAGCUGAAAACAGGCAACCAUUUUCUCUCAAUCGGCCAUCACCACUCUACAAGGCUGUCCAGAGAGGUGCAUUUCCUCCAUCUGUUUCACGGAAAGAGUCAGAGAUGAAUCCCAUCAAUCCUAGUUCUGUGCAUGUUCCUCCUGCAUAUUCAAGGAAGGUUCCUCUUGAUAGAAAGGCAGAACCUUCUUCUAAGAGUGUCAGCACACUUGACAACAAAAAGUUAUGCUCUACAAGCAAUCAGGCUGCACUUAGAUGUCAACCUACAAAAAGAGAUGCAGAUCCUAUUGUGGAAAAAGAAAAUACUGUGAAGCUUCCAUUAAUGAGCCCAACAUCUGUGCUUAGUUCAAGUUCCACCGAGGUAUGUCCAGAUACUGGAUCAAGGUCUGCAUCCAGACUAAAUUUGUUUGAUGAAAAAUGCAAGCUGGACUCACCGCAGCCUGAAACAAACAUACCUCAAGCAAAAAGCCCAGAGUCUACAACUCCAGCCCCAUAUGCUCAACUUUCCAAUGAUUUGAGAGCUGUUUCCUCCACUAAGAUCAUUGUCAGGAAUGAGAGACAAACGAACCAGGAACCAUCAAUUACUUGUAACAUCUCUUCAGGUAUAGUUAUCAUCCUGAAAGUAAUACAUUGCAGAAUCCUGAUGCAUGAUUUAGC